Molecule: unclassified non-coding RNA, 254 nt
Filed under: uncultured fungus
Lineage: Eukaryota; Fungi
Description: partial contains 5.8S ribosomal RNA, internal transcribed spacer 2, and large subunit ribosomal RNA
Source: RNAcentral
AACGCAUAUUGCGCCCCUUGGCAUUCCGAGGGGCAUGCCUUUUCGAGCGUCAUUACAACCGUCAAGCUCUGCUUGGUAUUGGGUCUCCGUCUCCAUGUGGGUGGGCCUCAAAGUCAUCAGCGGCUGAGAGAACGGUAUUCUAGCGUAGUAGAAAUUAACUCGCUGGGGACCAGCCCCAGGCAGCUGUCAAACACGCGCCUUUGCGCACAUCUUAGGUUGACCUCGGAUAAGGUAGGGAUACCCGCUGAACUUAA